GCCAGGUGGCAUAGUGGUCCAACGUGAUAGAUUGGAAAUCUAUCUCCUUCAGAGGCGUCUGUUCGAAUCAGACUGUAGACU
This 81-nucleotide transfer RNA is filed under the name Xylaria intraflava. Its description in RNAcentral is "tRNA-Ser". The stretch from base 7 to 73 matches the Rfam family "tRNA", at positions 8 to 63 of the family's 71-position model. Rfam says of the family: Transfer RNA (tRNA) molecules are approximately 80 nucleotides in length. Their secondary structure includes four short double-helical elements and three loops (D, anti-codon, and T loops). Lineage: Eukaryota; Fungi; Ascomycota; Sordariomycetes; Xylariales; Xylariaceae. The record is from RNAcentral.